CUCAUACUCUUAAAAACAAAAAGUUGGAGGGGAGAGGACUGGAAAGACGCUCAGUUAAGAGCACUUGCUGCUGUGGCAGAGGACCCAGGAUCCGUUCUCAGUAGACCCAUGGUCGCUCACAACAUUUUGUAGCUCCGGUUCCAGAGGGUCAGAUGCCUCUUCUAUCGUCUAUGGGUAUACAUACAUAGUACAGACACAGUACACAUACAUACGUAGGUCCAUGUUAAUCUCGUUGCAUUUUCAAUUUCAAUAUAUUUGCUGUUGAAGUGAGCAUGGAUUCAUACACUUGACAGGAAAUACCAGUUCCCUCCCUCCGCUCCUCUUCUGACACAUGGAUGGAAAUAGUGUCUCAUGACAAAAAUAAGAGAGAGCCUAAUGUGGAAAACAUGAAGAGGGAAGCCAUAGGCUGAGGAUGCUUGGAAGGAAAGGAGGAACCCGGGUCAUUCGUGAUAUCCUGAAGCCGCUCCAGCAGUCCUGAAAUGGCUACUACUGUCCCCCAAAUAAGCCUGAAUUCGACUCCACUGCUUCCUGGAGAAUGUAGCUGAACAUAGUCCUGGCUCGUACAUCAACCGUCAUAAGUUACCUCCUUCUGAGUGUUCUUGCUCCAAUAGUUUACAACUUAGAUAGUAAUAACUUUGUGUGUCAGAAAUGCAAGCACUAUCAUAAAAGGGUAUCAACUAUACCAGUAUUCUGCUAAGUCCUGACAUUUCAAACUAUUAUUAGAUUAAGAAACAUUUAUUAAAGGAAAUAAAAAGAGAGAAGAAGCGAUACCUAUACUUGCAUCUCCUGAAGUCUCAUCUUAGCAUUUUGAUAUAAUUAUGUUCUCUGCCUUAUUUUCAAGUACUUUUUUACCUUAUGACAUUUGUGUAUAUUUAUAUUAUUUUACCUAAUGUUAUACUAUAAAUAGCUUUCCAAGUUAGCACAAGUUAGCAAGGGUGUGGCUAAGUAAGAAAACAAAUACAUAUACUGUGGUAAGUGACAUAUGCACACAGAGUGGUCCUAAAAAUAUCCAGAAGGGAAAUUAAGGAAGUAGCUGGCUAACUAU
Molecule: long non-coding RNA, 1045 nt
Organism: Chionomys nivalis (European snow vole)
Lineage: Eukaryota; Metazoa; Chordata; Mammalia; Rodentia; Cricetidae
Exons: 3
Source: RefSeq, a predicted model, not a curated record